RNAcentral lists this ribosomal RNA (460 nucleotides) under uncultured bacterium. Its description in RNAcentral is "partial 16S ribosomal RNA". It matches the Rfam family "Bacterial small subunit ribosomal RNA", at positions 338 to 795 of the family's 1533-position model. The record is from RNAcentral.
CCUACGGGGGGCAGCAGUGAGGAAUAUUGGUCAAUGGGCGCGAGCCUGAACCAGCCAAGUAGCGUGAAGGAUGACUGCCCUACGGGUUGUAAACUUCUUUUAUAAAGGAAUAAAGUGAGGCACGUGUGCCUUUUUGUAUGUACUUUAUGAAUAAGGAUCGGCUAACUCCGUGCCAGCAGCCGCGGUAAUACGGAGGAUCCGGGCGUUAUGCGGAUUUAUUGGGGGUAAAGGGAGCGUAGAUGGGUUGUUAAGUCCGUUGUGAAAGGGUGCGGCUCAACCGUGAAAUUGCAGUUGAUACUGGCAGCCUUGAGUACAGGUGAGGUAGGCGGAAUUCGUGGUGUAGCGGUGAAAUGCGUAGAUAUCACGAAGAACUCCGAUUGCGAAGGCAGCUUACUAAACUGCCACUGACAUUGAUGCUCGAAAGUGUGGGUAUCAAACAGGAUUAGAUACCCGGGUAGUC